This 253-nucleotide ribosomal RNA is filed under the name uncultured bacterium. RNAcentral's name for it is "partial 16S ribosomal RNA". It matches the Rfam family "Bacterial small subunit ribosomal RNA", at positions 524 to 776 of the family's 1533-position model. The record is from RNAcentral.
UACGGGGGGAGCUAGCGUUUUUCGGAAUUGCUGGGCGUAAAGGGCGCGUAGGCGGCCAAUAAAGUUGAAAGUGAAAGCCCCGGGCUUAACCUGGGAACUGCUUUCAAAACUCAUUGGCUAGAGGAUGAUAGAGGACAGUAGAAUUCCUAGUGUAGAGGUGAAAUUCUUAGAUAUUAGGAAGAAUACCAGAGGCGAAGGCGACUGUCUGGGUCAUAUCUGACGCUGAGGCGCGAAAGCGUGGGGAGCAAACAGG